RNAcentral lists this ribosomal RNA (497 nucleotides) under uncultured bacterium. RNAcentral describes it as "partial 16S ribosomal RNA". It matches the Rfam family "Bacterial small subunit ribosomal RNA", at positions 28 to 507 of the family's 1533-position model. The record is from RNAcentral.
GAUGAACGCUGGCGGCGUGCCUAAUACAUGCAAGUCGAGCGAACAGAUGAGGAGCUUGCUCUUCUGACGUUAGCGGCGGACGGGUGAGUAACACGUGGAUAACCUACCUAUAAGACUGGGAUAACUUCGGGAAACCGGAGCUAAUACCGGAUAAUAUAUUGAACCGCAUGGUUCAAUAGUGAAAGACGGUUUUGCUGUCACUUAUAGAUGGAUCCGCGCCGCAUUAGCUAGUUGGUAAGGUAACGGCUUACCAAGGCAACGAUGCGUAGCCGACCUGAGAGGGUGAUCGGCCACACUGGAACUGAGACACGGUCCAGACUCCUACGGGAGGCAGCAGUAGGGAAUCUUCCGCAAAGGGCGAAAGCCUGACGGAGCAACGCCGCGUGAGUGAUGAAGGUCUUCGGAUCGUAAAACUCUGUUAUUAGGGAAGAACAAAUGUGUAAGUAUCUAUGCACGUCUUGACGGUACCUAAUCAGAAAGCCACGGCUAACUACGUG